Molecule: ribosomal RNA, 522 nt
Filed under: Chlorogomphus nasutus
Lineage: Eukaryota; Metazoa; Arthropoda; Insecta; Odonata; Chlorogomphidae
Description: SSU rRNA
Rfam family: Eukaryotic small subunit ribosomal RNA
Source: RNAcentral
UAGUCGGAGGUGUGUCUCGGACGGUCGGUUCGCCGCUUGUCGGUGCUCAACUGGCCGGUCCGGACGUCCUGCCGGUGGGGCUGUAAAAGGCUCCGUUAUCCUUCUUUGGUCCUCUUCACUGAGUGCCUUGGUGGGCCGGCACGUUUACUUUGAACAAAUUAGAGUGCUCAAAGCAGGCCGUUGGUCGCCUGAAUACUGUGUGCAUGGAAUAAUGGAAUAGGACCUCGGUUCCAUUUUGUUGGUUUUCAGAACUCGAGGUAAUGAUUAAUAGGGACGGACGGGGGCAUUCGUAUUGCGACGUUAGAGGUGAAAUUCUUGGAUCGUCGCAAGACGAACCGAUGCGAAAGCAUUUGCCAAGAACGUUUUCGUUGAUCAAGAACGAAAGUUAGAGGUUCGAAGGCGAUCAGAUACCGCCCUAGUUCUAACCAUAAACGAUGCCAGCUAGCCAUCCGCCGAAGUUCCUUAUAUGACUCGGCGGGCAGCUUCCGGGAAACCAAAGCUCUUGGGUUCCGGGGGAAGUAU